Mustela erminea (ermine) is the source of this 1721-nucleotide long non-coding RNA. RefSeq lists it as uncharacterized. NCBI's taxonomy places the organism in Eukaryota, Metazoa, Chordata, Mammalia, Carnivora, Mustelidae. The record is from RefSeq and is a predicted model, not a curated record. The transcript is spliced from 3 exons.
UCAGGGCUUAGACAACAGAAAUUUAUUUCUCACGGUUCUGGAGGCUGGCAAGUUCAAGCUCAAGGUGGAACAGGAUUUAGUUUCCGGAGAACAUGGCACUCAUCUAGGAACACCAGCUUUUGAAAAGAACGCUUAGGGAAUGUGGUGACCCUAACAUGCCAUUAGUCCGACCGCAGUGAGAUAUACAGGAAGGACUGCAAAUUGGAGUGCAAAGUCACCUUUUCAAAUGCAUGAGGUCACUUGGAGAUUUGAAGCUGGGGUUGGAAACCUCUCCUGGUAACUACAGAAGUGGAAUGGAGAGGGAGUUGGGAGGAAUCCCAAAACUAUGGAUCCUUCUCUGAGUCUCCUUCGUCUCAUUUCCACCAGCUUCUCAGAGCAACCUUGCUUCUUCACUAUUAUCAUUAUCAGGAUGGUCUCCCCACCACAUAACAAUUCCUCAAGCCAAGACCCCAUCUAUUCAGACUCGAGGUUGUUUUGAUGCCAGAUGAGAAACACAAAGUCAUGCUUCCUUUUCUUCCAGUAGAAAACUAGUGAGUAUCCAUGAAAGACAAAAACAGCUCUGUAGAAGGACAGCAAAAGAGCCAUACCCAAAUUUCGGGGGAGACUUUGACAUCACUGUCCUUGGCAACCAACUCUAGUUCUGAAUUCUGCAUACCUGCUUUCUUAAUCAGUAUAGGAGAGAGGAAGGCAGAGAACAUGGGGACUCACACUGUCUUCUGCCUGUAGCUCUAGGUAGAAUGGCUGCAUUCACCAGGACACCAGGAAGUUAACUCCCUCUGAUGUGUUAAAAGUCCACGUCUAAAAACAAAACGUCCCCCAACACACAUGUGGAUGGUGUGAUGGGCUGGAGACAUCCUCCAUACCUUGUUUUCAUACUGUGUGACCAGGCCAAGAGAGACCUCUCCAUUCCAGGAUGGACGAAUGAAUCUUUCCCUUCACGGGUCAAUUUCCCCUGCAAGAAAACAGACAAACUCUGGUAUUUUAAGCAGCUAUGCCUCAAGGCACCCUGAUUACAUACCUCAGAAAAAGCAAGACAUAGAAAUUCCAGUCCUUCUCCCGAACAGACCCAACUCCACACCACAUUAACAAGGCAUGGAUACCUACGGAAGAAUUUGUAGAUAUUCAGAGGAUUUGCAUUGCAAACCCCUAUUACAAAAUCCUUACAUUUUUUUUCUUUUUCCCUGAAUUCUUUCUUGGAGUCAGCAGCCUUGCUUUCCACCUAAAAGUCAGUGCAUCUGGGCUUUUCCGGCAAGGCUGGCUUCAGCCCUGUCUUUCCAGACCCUGCACACUAUCUCUUCCCUAAUAUAGAACAAAUUCCCAUUUGUAUCUUCACAUUCACUCCUUUGGUGAUCUAACAAGAUUCUCCUUGGAAUUUACUCCCAUGCUAGAGGCUGUUGGUGGUAUACAAUAUCUGCUUUCCCACUUUCCUACAAUAAGUGAGUUCAAGAGUUUUAUCUGGGCACAGAAUAGACUCCAUUCCCCAGUGUCCCCAUUACAGCAAGGUGUAGUUAUGUGAGAACAUGGCACCAAUGGCGUGUAAGUGAAGCAUGGACACAGCUUCUGAGACAUGUUCUUAAGAGCAAGAGGCACAGUCCUUUCCUGCCUUCAUCUCCUUUUUGCCUGGAAUGUGGUUAUUUUGGCUGGGAUUAGAAUAGCCAUCUUGCAUUAAGAGGUGGGAGUUUUGUGCUAAAGAUGGCAGGGCAACCAAAGAGAAAAAAACA